RNAcentral lists this ribosomal RNA (499 nucleotides) under uncultured bacterium. RNAcentral describes it as "partial 16S ribosomal RNA". It matches the Rfam family "Bacterial small subunit ribosomal RNA", at positions 28 to 507 of the family's 1533-position model. The record is from RNAcentral.
GACGAACGCUGGCGGCGUGCUUAACACAUGCAAGUCGAACGGGCCCGCCCCUGUUUUUGGGGGUGGGUUGAGUGGCGAACGGGUGAGUAUCACGUGAGUAACCUGCCCCCUGCUCCUGGAUAACUGCUUGAAAGGGCGGCUAAUACGGGGUGUGCCGGCUGGUCCGCAUGGGCCUGGUCGGGAUAGUUUCAUCUUCGGGUGGUUCGGUGGGGGAUGGGCUCGCGGCCUAUCAGCUUGUUGGUGGGGUGAUGGCCCACCAAGGCGGUGACGGGUAGCCGGCCUGAGAGGGUGGGCGGCCACACUGGGACUGAGACACGGCCCAGACUCCUGCGGGAGGCAGCAGUGGGGGGUAUUGCACAAUGGGCGGAAGCCUGAUGCAGCGACGUCGCGUGAGGGAUGGAGGCCUUCGGGUUGUGAACCUCUUUCUCCGGUGGUGAAGGCCCUGUCCGUUGCGGCGGGGUUGACGGUAGCCGGGUAUGAAGCGCCGGCUAACUACGUG